Molecule: ribosomal RNA, 584 nt
Filed under: uncultured bacterium
Lineage: Bacteria
Description: bacterial SSU rRNA
Rfam family: Bacterial small subunit ribosomal RNA
Source: RNAcentral
CGACGGGAUUGAGAGCUUGCUCUCAUGAGAGUGGCGCACGGGUGAGUAACGCGUAUGCAACCUACCUUUAACUGAGGGAUAGCCCAUAGAAAUGUGGAUUAAUACCUCAUAGUUCUGAGAAACCGCAUGGUUUUUCAGAUAAAGCUCCGGCGGUUAAAGAUGGGCAUGCGUGACAUUAGUUUGUUGGUGAGGUAACGGCUCACCAAGACUACGAUGUCUAGGGGUUCUGAGAGGAUGAUCCCCCACACUGGUACUGAGACACGGACCAGACUCCUACGGGAGGCAGCAGUGAGGAAUAUUGGUCAAUGGGCGCAAGCCUGAACCAGCCAUCCCGCGUGAAGGAUGACGGCCCUAUGGGUUGUAAACUUCUUUUAUACACCAAGAAAAAGCAGGACGUGUCCUGCCCCGACGGUAGUGUAUGAAUAAGCAUCGGCUAACUCCGUGCCAGCAGCCGCGGUAAUACGGAGGAUGCAAGCGUUAUCCGGAUUCAUUGGGUUUAAAGGGUGCGUAGGCGGCUUUUUAAGUCAGUGGUGAAAUCCUGCCGCUUAACGGUAGAAUUGCCAUUGAUACUGAAAAGCUUGAGU